Molecule: long non-coding RNA, 270 nt
Filed under: Lathyrus oleraceus (garden pea)
Lineage: Eukaryota; Viridiplantae; Streptophyta; Magnoliopsida; Fabales; Fabaceae
Description: Pisum sativum (pea) long non-coding RNA (PSAT_LNC034889)
Source: RNAcentral
GUGGCGACCGUGACAGCUUGUGUGACGCUUUCUUAAUUCUUUUUAUUAUUUAUUUAAUUUUUUAGUUUUUGUUUAUUAUAUUUGCUAUUGUUUUAUUUUUCUGAUUUGCCAUGAAUGCCACUCUACUACACCAUAGUGUAUAUAUUUUUUUUUUCUAAUAAGCCAUGUAAGUAGUAGCAUACAAUAUAUAUUAUCAUUGGGAAUUUUAGACGGUGCAUAAAUCAAAAUAAAAUUUAAUUUAACCAAUAAUGCCAAUAGCUUCAUAAAAAU